RNAcentral lists this ribosomal RNA (464 nucleotides) under Vreelandella stevensii. RNAcentral describes it as "partial 16S ribosomal RNA". It matches the Rfam family "Bacterial small subunit ribosomal RNA", at positions 338 to 795 of the family's 1533-position model. Lineage: Bacteria; Pseudomonadati; Pseudomonadota; Gammaproteobacteria; Oceanospirillales; Halomonadaceae. The record is from RNAcentral.
CCUACGGGGGGCUGCAGUGGGGAAUAUUGGACAAUGGGGGGAACCCUGAUCCAGCCAUGCCGCGUGUGUGAAGAAGGCCCUCGGGUUGUAAAGCACUUUCAGUGAGGAAGAACGCCUGGUGGUUAAUACCCAUCAGGAAAGACAUCACUCACAGAAGAAGCACCGGCUAACUCCGUGCCAGCAGCCGCGGUAAUACGGAGGGUGCGAGCGUUAAUCGGAAUUACUGGGCGUAAAGCGCGCGUAGGUGGCUUGAUAAGCCGGUUGUGAAAGCCCCGGGCUCAACCUGGGACGGCAUCCGGAACUGGCAAGCUAGAGUGUAGGAGAGGAAGGUAGAAUUCCCGGUGUAGAGGGUCAAUGCGUAGAGAUCGGGAGGAAUACCAGUGGCGAAGGCGGCCUUCUGGACUGACACUGACACUGAGGUGCGAAAGCGUGGGUAGCAAACAGGAUUAGAUACCCGAGUAGUC